AUACUCUGGUUUCUCUCCAGAUCUCAUAAAUCUUUCUCUUUUUCCUUAGGAUUUCCAUGGAGAGGAACAAUUCUGAGUCUUUACCCAAUUUUUUGAGAACUUGUUUCAGCAAGGCC
This is a small nuclear RNA of Aotus nancymaae (Ma's night monkey), 116 nucleotides long. Its record names the gene U5. It matches the Rfam family "U5 spliceosomal RNA". From Rfam's summary of the family: U5 RNA is a component of both types of known spliceosome. The precise function of this molecule is unknown, though it is known that the 5' loop is required for splice site selection and p220 binding, and that both the 3' stem-loop and the Sm site are important for Sm protein binding and cap methylation. NCBI's taxonomy places the organism in Eukaryota, Metazoa, Chordata, Mammalia, Primates, Aotidae. The record is from Ensembl.